AGAGUUUGAUCCUGGCUCAGAGCGAACGCUGGCGGCGUGCUUAACACAUGCAAGUCGAGUGCGCGGUAGCAAUACUGGCGCACGGCGCACGGGUGCGUAACACGUGGGCAACCUGCCCUACAAUGGGGGAUAACCCGCCGAAAGGCGGGCUAAUACCGCAUGACAUCACGAUGGCUUCGGCUGUUGUGAUCAAAGGCCGCAAGGCCAUUGGAGGAGGGGCCCGCGCCCGAUUAGCUAGUUGGUGAGGUAACGGCUCACCAAGGCUUUGAUCGGUAGCCGGUCUGAGAGGAUGGCCGGCCACACUGGAACUGAGACACGGUCCAGACUCCUACGGGAGGCAGCAGUGGGGAAUCUUGCGCAAUGGGCGAAAGCCUGACGCAGCGACGCCGCGUGGGGAUGAAGCUUCUCGGAGUGUAAACCCCUUUCGACCCGGAAGAAUGUCCCGCAAGGGAUUGACGGUACGGGUAUAAGAAGCCCCGGCUAACUACGUGCCAGCAGUCGCGGUAAGACGUAGGGGGCCAGCGUUGCUCGGAAUUACUGGGCGUAAAGGGUUCGUAGGCGGUGUGGCAAGUCGGAAGUGAAAUCUCCAGGCUCAACUUGGAGGCUGCUCCCGAAACUGCCACGCUAGAGUGCGAGAGAGGCCAGUGGAAUUGCAGGUGUAGCGGUGAAAUGCGUAGAUAUCUGCAAGAACACCCGUGGCGAAAGCGGCUGGCUGGAUCGCAACUGACGCUGAGAACGAAAGCUAGGGGAGCAAACAGGAUUAGAUACCCUGGUAGUCC
RNAcentral lists this ribosomal RNA (779 nucleotides) under uncultured bacterium. RNAcentral describes it as "bacterial SSU rRNA". It matches the Rfam family "Bacterial small subunit ribosomal RNA", at positions 8 to 796 of the family's 1533-position model. The record is from RNAcentral.